UAUCCUUUUAGCUUAAUGGUAGAGCGCUGUUCUUCUAAAACAUGGAUUCGAGUUCGAGUCUCGAAAAGGGUAG
RNAcentral lists this transfer RNA (73 nucleotides) under Streptomyces fumigatiscleroticus. Its description in RNAcentral is "tRNA-Arg". It matches the Rfam family "tRNA". From Rfam's summary of the family: Transfer RNA (tRNA) molecules are approximately 80 nucleotides in length. Their secondary structure includes four short double-helical elements and three loops (D, anti-codon, and T loops). Further hydrogen bonds mediate the characteristic L-shaped molecular structure. tRNAs have two regions of fundamental functional importance: the anti-codon, which is responsible for specific mRNA codon recognition, and the 3' end, to which the tRNAs corresponding amino acid is attached (by aminoacyl-tRNA synthetases). tRNAs cope with the degeneracy of the genetic code in two manners: having more than one tRNA (with a specific anti-codon) for a particular amino acid; and 'wobble' base-pairing, i.e. permitting non-standard base-pairing at the 3rd anti-codon position. The record is from RNAcentral. Lineage: Bacteria; Bacillati; Actinomycetota; Actinomycetes; Kitasatosporales; Streptomycetaceae.